CCUACGGGGGGCUGCAGUGAGGAAUAUUGGUCAAUGGCCGUAAGGCUGAACCAGCCAAGUCGCGUGAAGGAAGAAGGAUCUAUGGUUUGUAAACUUCUUUUAUAGGGGAAUAAAGGUAUCCACGUGUGGAUAUUUGCAUGUACCCUAUGAAUAAGCAUCGGCUAACUCCGUGCCAGCAGCCGCGGUAAUACGGAGGAUGCGAGCGUUAUCCGGAUUUAUUGGGUUUAAAGGGUGCGUAGGUUGUUUUUUAAGUCAGCGGUGAAAGUUUGUGGCUCAACCACAAAAUUGCCGUUGAAACUGGAAGACUUGAGUGUGUUUGAGGUAGGCGGAAUGCGUGGUGUAGCGGUGAAAUGCAUAGAUAUCACGAAGAACCCCGAUUGCGAAGGCAGCUUACUAAACUGUGACUGACAUUGAUGCUCGAAAGUGUGGGUAUCAAACAGGAUUAGAUACCCCAGUAGUC
RNAcentral lists this ribosomal RNA (460 nucleotides) under uncultured bacterium. RNAcentral describes it as "partial 16S ribosomal RNA". It matches the Rfam family "Bacterial small subunit ribosomal RNA", at positions 338 to 795 of the family's 1533-position model. The record is from RNAcentral.